UAGGGAAUCUUCGGCAAUGGACGAAAGUCUGACCGAGCAACGCCGCGGGAGUGAAGAAGGUUUUCGGAUCGUAAAACUCUGUUGUUAGAGAAGAACAAGGACGUUAGUAACUGAACGUCCCCUGACGGUAUCUAACCAGAAAGCCACGGCUAACUACGUGCCAGCAGCCGCGGUAAUACGUAGGUGGCAAGCGUUGUCCGGAUUUAUUGGGCGUAAAGCGAGCGCAGGCGGUUUCUUAAGUCUGAUGUGAAAGCCCCCGGCUCAACCGGGGAGGGUCAUUGGAAACUGGGAGACUUGAGUGCAGAAGAGGAGAGUGGAAUUCCAGGUGUAGCGGUGAAAUGCGUAGAUAUAUGGAGGAACACCAGUGGCGAAGGCGGCUCUCUGGUCUGUAACUGACGCGGAGGCUCGAAAGCGUGGGGAGCAAACAGG
RNAcentral lists this ribosomal RNA (429 nucleotides) under Gemmatimonadota bacterium. RNAcentral describes it as "Gemmatimonadetes bacterium partial 16S ribosomal RNA". It matches the Rfam family "Bacterial small subunit ribosomal RNA", at positions 355 to 776 of the family's 1533-position model. The record is from RNAcentral. Lineage: Bacteria; Pseudomonadati; Gemmatimonadota.